AUUGAACGCUGGCGGAAUGCUUUACACAUGCAAGUCGAGCGGCAGCGCGGGGGCAACCCUGGCGGCGAGCGGCGAACGGGUGAGUAACAUAUCGGAACGUACCCAGUCGUGGGGGAUAACUAUCCGAAAGGAUAGCUAAUACCGCAUACGUCCUGAGGGAGAAAGCGGGGGAUCGCAAGACCUCGCGCGAUUGGAGCGGCCGAUAUCGGAUUAGCUAGUUGGUGGGGUAAAGGCUCACCAAGGCGACGAUCCGUAGCGGGUCUGAGAGGACGACCCGCCACACUGGAACUGAGACACGGUCCAGACUCCUACGGGAGGCAGCAGUGGGGAAUUUUGGACAAUGGGGGCAACCCUGAUCCAGCCAUUCCGCGUGUGUGAAGAAGGCCUCGGUUGUAAGACGACUUAAGUACGAGGAGGAAGGUUUU
RNAcentral lists this ribosomal RNA (425 nucleotides) under uncultured bacterium. Its description in RNAcentral is "bacterial SSU rRNA". It matches the Rfam family "Bacterial small subunit ribosomal RNA", at positions 29 to 456 of the family's 1533-position model. The record is from RNAcentral.